Non-coding RNA from Python bivittatus (Burmese python), 457 nucleotides. NCBI's taxonomy places the organism in Eukaryota, Metazoa, Chordata, Lepidosauria, Squamata, Pythonidae. The record is from RefSeq and is a predicted model, not a curated record.
GGAGGGGGCAAAGGGAAAAGGGGGGGACUUGAUGGCCUGGCUGGCUUUCUGCAGUGGCCCCCUCUCCCAGCGUCCCCACCCCACCCCCUCGCCCUCCAAGUGUGACGCAGGACGAGUUGGCCUGGAAGGAGGCUGGGGAGAACAGCCGGCUGGUCUGCAAAACGCCAAACUGGGGAGCUUCACGCAGAGCAGACCAUCUCACAUCUCGGCUGGGGCAGUGUUUCUCAACCUUGGCAUCUUUAAGAAGCGUGGACUUCAACUCCCAGAAUUCCCCUUGUAACAUUUGCAAGUCCUCCAUGAAAUUAACCACCAUGGGCACAUCAAGAACACCAAUAAUGCUGAAAAGACAAGGAGUAAAAAGGAAAUUGGCUUCUCCUGGGAGAGAACUCUGCACAUGUUCUACUGUUCACCACUUAUCUGGAAGUUGUGAAAUAAAACUGAUUCCCUUCUGAUUUAA